Molecule: ribosomal RNA, 567 nt
Filed under: Glyphus marsupialis
Lineage: Eukaryota; Metazoa; Arthropoda; Malacostraca; Decapoda; Pasiphaeidae
Description: partial 12S ribosomal RNA
Source: RNAcentral
GACUAAUAGGGUAAAUGAAAUUUGUAAGUCGAAUAUAAUAUUUGUUUUUAUGAAGGAGGAUUUGUUUAAAAAGUAAAAGGUAGAAUAUAGAAUUAGGAAAAUUAAUUUUUAUCUAUGAAUGGAUUAUAAUUUAUGGAAUGUUAGGUGUAAAAUAGGAUUAGAGACCCUGUUAUUCUAAUAAGAAAUUAAGGUUACUUGAGAAGUAAUAAGUUAUGAGCUUGAAACUUAAAGAAUUUGGCGGUAUUUUAGUCCUGUUAGAGGAACCUGUUCAAUAAACGAUAAAACACGUAGAAUCUUUAUUUUUUUUGUAAAUUUACAGCUUGUAUAUCGUCAUUAUUAGGAUGAUCUAUAAAAUUAUAUAUCAAGAUAAAUUGUAUUUAAAAUAUUAGAUCAAGGUGCAGCUUAUAAGAAAGAAUGAAAUGGGUUACAAUAAACUAAAUUUAAGACGGAUUAGGAGUUGAAGUUAGCUAUUGAAGGUGGAUUUAGGAGUAAUUAUAUUUUAAUAUGAUAUAAUGAUUUUGGCUCUAGAAUAUGUACAUAUCGCCCGUCACUCUCGCUUUUUAAUGU